Molecule: ribosomal RNA, 250 nt
Filed under: uncultured bacterium
Lineage: Bacteria
Description: partial 16S ribosomal RNA
Rfam family: Bacterial small subunit ribosomal RNA
Source: RNAcentral
UACGUAGGUGGCAAGCGUUAUCCGGAAUUACUGGGCGUAAAGGGUCCGCAGGUGGCAAGACAAGUCCGGUGUGACACCACUCGGCUCAACUGAGUGAGGCCAUUGGAAACUGUCCUGCUAGAGUCACGGAGAGGGGUGCGGAAUUCCGGGUGUAGUGGUGGAAUGCGUAGAGAUCCGGAGGAACACCAGAGGCGCAAGCGGCACCCUGGCCGAUGACUGACACUGAGGGACGAAAGCGUGGGGAGCAAAC